RNAcentral lists this long non-coding RNA (281 nucleotides) under Copidosoma floridanum. RNAcentral describes it as "uncharacterized LOC111642984". Lineage: Eukaryota; Metazoa; Arthropoda; Insecta; Hymenoptera; Encyrtidae. The record is from RNAcentral.
CCUCAGACAACAAAUUGAGUACGGGUACAUUCGUAAGGGGCAUUGAAUGCGGUACAUUUGCCCUUCAUGAAAUAAGUGCUAGCGUCAUUAGUAGAUCAAUCAUAGUCAAGGCGAAACACACGGGAAUGCAGGACAAGGAUGACAAUAGUCAUUUUGAUUUAUACAAAACAUUCGACGUUUUGGAAGAGUUCGACAUCGAAAAAGCCAUGGUUACAUUGCACUCUGAUGGUGUUUUAAAGAUUGAAGUUCCUAAGAUAACAGCAAACGAAUAAAUAGCAUGA